CGGUUAAGUUAGAAAGGGCGCACGGUGGAUGCCUUGGCACUAGGAGCCGAUGAAGGACGGGACGAACACCGAUAUGCUUCGGGGAGCUGUAAGCAAGCUUUGAUCCGGAGAUUUCCGAAUGGGGAAACCCACCACUCGUAAUGGAGUGGUAUCCAUAUCUGAAUACAUAGGAUAUGAGAAGGCAGACCCGGGGAACUGAAACAUCUAAGUACCCGGAGGAAGAGAAAGCAAAUGCGAUUCCCUGAGUAGCGGCAGCGAAACGGAUCAGCCCAAACCAAGAGGCUUGCCUCUUGGGGUUGUAGGACACUCUGUACGGAGUUACAAAGGAACGAGGUAGAUGAAGAGGUCUGGAAAGGCCCGCCAUAGGAGGUAACAGCCCUGUAGUCAAAACUUCGUUCUCUCCUGAGUGGAUCCUGAGUACGGCGGAACACGUGAAAUUCCGUCGGAAUCCGGGAGGACCAUCUCCCAAGGCUAAAUACUCCUAGUGACCGAUAGUGAACCAGUACCGUGAGGAAAGGUGAAAAGCACCCCGGAAGGGAGUGAAAGAGAUCCUGAAACCGUGUGCCUACAAGUAGUCAGAGCCCGUUAACGGGUGAUGGCGUGCCUUUGUAGAAUGAACCGGCGAGUUACGAUCCCGUGCAAGGUUAAGCAGAAGAUGCGGAGCCGCAGCGAAAGCGAGUCUGAAUAGGGCGAAUUGAGUACGUGGUCGUAGACCCGAAACCAGGUGAUCUACCCAUGUCCAGGGUGAAGUUCAGGUAACACUGAAUGGAGGCCCGAACCCACGCACGUUGAAAAGUGCGGGGAUGAGGUGUGGGUAGGGUGAAAUGCCAAUCGAACCUGGAGAUAGCUGGUUCUCUCCGAAAUAGCUUUAGGGCUAGCCUCAAGGUAAGAGUCUCGGAGGUAGAGCACUGAUUGGACUAGGGGCCCCUACCGGGUUACCGAAUUCAGUCAAACUCCGAAUGCCGAUGACUUAUCCUUGGGAGUCAGACUGCGAGUGAUAAGAUCCGUAGUCGAAAGGAAACAGCCCAGACCGCCAGCUAAGGUCCCAAAGUAUACGUUAAGUGGAAAAGGAUGUGGAGUUGCUUAGACAACCAGGAUGUUGGCUUAGAAGCAGCCACCAUUUAAAGAGUGCGUAAUAGCUCACUGGUCGAGUGACUCUGCGCCGAAAAUGUACCGGGGCUAAACGUAUCACCGAAGCUGCGGACUGUUCUUCGAACAGUGGUAGGAGAGCGUUCUAAGGGCUGUGAAGCAAGACCGGAAGGACUUGUGGAGCGCUUAGAAGUGAGAAUGCCGGUAUGAGUAGCGAAAGAGGGGUGAGAAUCCCCUCCACCGAAUGCCUAAGGUUUCCUGAGGAAGGCUCGUCCGCUCAGGGUUAGUCGGGACCUAAGCCGAGGCCGAAAGGCGUAGGCGAUGGAUAACAGGUUGAUAUUCCUGUACCACCUCCUCACCAUUUGAGCAAUGGGGGGACGCAGGAGGAUAGGGUAAGCGCGGUAUUGGAUAUCCGCGUCCAAGCAGUUAGGCUGGGAAAUAGGCAAAUCCGUUUCCCGUGAAGGCUGAGCUGUGAUGGCGAGCGAAUUAUAGUAGCGAAGUUCCUGAUUCCACACUGCCAAGAAAAGCCUCUAGCGAGGUGAGAGGUGCCCGUACCGCAAACCGACACAGGUAGGCGAGGAGAGAAUCCUAAGGUGAUCGAGAGAACUCUCGUUAAGGAACUCGGCAAAAUGACCCCGUAACUUCGGGAGAAGGGGUGCUCUGUUAGGUGCAAGCCCGAGAGAGCCGCAGUGAAUAGGCCCAGGCGACUGUUUAGCAAAACACAGGUCUCUGCGAAGCCGUAAGGCGAAGUAUAGGGCUGACGCCUGCCCGGUGCUGGAAGGUUAAGAGGAGCGCUUAGCGUAAGCGAAGGUGCGAAUUGAAGCCCCAGUAAACGGCGGCCGUAACUAUAACGGUCCUAAGGUAGCGAAAUUCCUUGUCGGGUAAGUUCCGACCCGCACGAAAGGCGCAACGAUCUGGGCACUGUCUCAACGAGAGACUCGGUGAAAUUAUAGUACCUGUGAAGAUGCAGGUUACCCGCGACAGGACGGAAAGACCCCGUGGAGCUUUACUGCAGCCUGAUAUUGAAUGUUGGUACAGCUUGUACAGGAUAGGUAGGAGCCUUGGAAACCGGAGCGCCAGCUUCGGUGGAGGCAUCGGUGGGAUACUACCCUGGCUGUAUUGACCUUCUAACCCGCCGCCCUUAUCGGGCGGGGAGACAGUGUCAGGUGGGCAGUUUGACUGGGGCGGUCGCCUCCUAAAAGGUAACGGAGGCGCCCAAAGGUUCCCUCAGAAUGGUUGGAAAUCAUUCGCAGAGUGUAAAGGCACAAGGGAGCUUGACUGCGAGACCUACAAGUCGAGCAGGGACGAAAGUCGGGCUUAGUGAUCCGGUGGUUCCGCAUGGAAGGGCCAUCGCUCAACGGAUAAAAGCUACCCCGGGGAUAACAGGCUUAUCUCCCCCAAGAGUCCACAUCGACGGGGAGGUUUGGCACCUCGAUGUCGGCUCAUCGCAUCCUGGGGCUGUAGUCGGUCCCAAGGGUUGGGCUGUUCGCCCAUUAAAGCGGUACGCGAGCUGGGUUCAGAACGUCGUGAGACAGUUCGGUCCCUAUCCGUCGCGGGCGCAGGAAAUUUGAGAGGAGCUGUCCUUAGUACGAGAGGACCGGGAUGGACGCACCGCUGGUGUACCAGUUGUUCUGCCAAGGGCAUCGCUGGGUAGCUAUGUGCGGACGGGAUAAGUGCUGAAAGCAUCUAAGCAUGAAGCCCCCCUCAAGAUGAGAUUUCCCAUUCCGCAAGGAAGUAAGAUCCCUGAAAGAUGAUCAGGUUGAUAGGUCUGAGGUGGAAGUGUGGCGACACAUGGAGCUGACAGAUACUAAUCGAUCGAGGACUUAACCAAUUU
Molecule: ribosomal RNA, 2923 nt
Filed under: Bacillus velezensis
Lineage: Bacteria; Bacillati; Bacillota; Bacilli; Caryophanales; Bacillaceae
Description: 23S ribosomal RNA
Rfam family: Bacterial large subunit ribosomal RNA
Source: RNAcentral